RNAcentral lists this long non-coding RNA (1896 nucleotides) under Pongo abelii (Sumatran orangutan). RNAcentral describes it as "lincRNA". Lineage: Eukaryota; Metazoa; Chordata; Mammalia; Primates; Hominidae. The record is from RNAcentral.
UGAGUUCCCUGUGAGGCCCUGAUGUUGUUUACGAUCACGUGUUGGCCAGGGAUCCUGGCCUCUGGAAACUUCCAUGGCAACAUUAGCACAGUAGGAGGGUUUGGAGAUCAGUCCACGAAUUUACCAUCCAGCGACAUUAACUGGUUUCUACUCACACCACUAAUGACAGUUUAGACACAGUCAAAACAGUGAUAAAUGGGCCUAGUUGGCCCAAGUUGAUGGAUUCAUAAAUAAAUAUUUAAACCACAGCCUUUCUCUGACAGCAGAGGCAUCAGACAGCAGAGACGCUAUAAGCAAAGAGUUAGGGAGUCAAGGGCCAUAGAAAACUCUUCCUGACACUUGGUUCAGGCUCAGAGGGCAACUGAAAUGUCCAUCUGGUUAACCAAGGAGGGCUUCCAGGAGGAGGUUCUGGGACUUCAAAGAGCCUCCAACUAGGCUCAGUUGUUCUUCCGUUUUCAUCAUCAUCUCAACAGUCAACUCUCUUUAAGUAUAAAACGGUACAAGAUGGGCUCUCAGUCUGCAGGUGGGUGAGUGGAGUCGUUUCCCCAGAUGUUUCACGAUUCCAGGCCUGGUCCCUUUAAGGCAUCAAAACUCAGAACAUUCUAUCAGCUGCCUCGGCCUCCCCGUGGCGCGCUUACGUCACCCUUCGGGGAAGCGGCUGACGUCAGCGCGUUCUUGGCGAGUGGGGCGGGGCCGGUGACUCACCCGGACCGCGCCCCUUGCUCACCGCCCCCGCCCGGCCGCGCGCACGUGAGCGCGCGCCGCGCGAGUUGCUAAUUUUAGCUCCGGCGGCUUCCCUGGGGUCCCGUGAGGUGAAGGCGAGUGGAGGGGACGAGGCGGGCAAGGAGCGCGGCUCUCCUUGUCCCUUCCUGCCCCGCCGUGGGUUUUCCUCGAGGACCGGGCCCGGCCCGAGGGGUGGGGGCCCGCGGGCGACUCGAGGUGCUGGAACGCGGGCGCUUACCGAGGCGAGAGCCUAGGGGUCUCCUCGCGUGGAAACCCCGCCCCUCCCUCGGCCCUGGACACAGUUGGCGCUCAAUAAAUGAAUCGAAGUUUCUUCCUGGACGGCGACCCUGGGCUUUCGGGAGAAAGCCAGAGGGGCAGGGUUCUGGAAGGUUCCCUGGCGGCUGGGGUGCGGUGCGGGCUGAAAUCCGAGCAGGAGCUGGGCGCGGCCCUCGGGGACCGACUAUGGGGGACGGCGCCGCGGGAGUGGGGCAAGUGCGGGCCUGGACCCUUGGGGCCACCGCGUCAGCAGUCGGCGGGGCCGUGGGAGGGACGGUGCCCGCCCGCUGUGAAGGGCAGUGGCCCUUCUAGGGUCAGGCCAAGCGCAGAGGCCUGAAGGUCACCGGGUGAGGAGCCAGCGCGGGUGCCUCAGAAGCCAAGCGCCCCGUCCCGAGGCCUGCGCGAACCAGUAUGACCUUCCAGGAACCAGAUGAGAGCUGCGUUUUCAAGAAGCAGUGCCAGACACCUUGGGAAAUCGACACUCUCCUGUCCUCGGGUGGGGGUGGGGGUCCUGGAAAGAAGCUCCGUCAGCGUAAAGUGAACUCUAGUUUUGACUUUGCAGAGGGAUCCGCUGUGUCACAGUGACCCGCAUUCCUGUCAUUGGUGUGGUGUGUUUCACAGCCAUUGCCUGCCUAGGUAGACUGUAAAACGGCGUUCGUAGAGCCUUUGACCUCAUAAUAUUAUGUUGGAAAUUACACGAUAGUAAACAUAAUGAUAAAUGGGGAAUGUUAAAUGGUAGUAUGGGAACAUUUUCUAAUGGUUGCAUCCUUAAAAUUUUCUAUUUCAAGUUUUUAAAGGCUAUAGCCUUAAAAAAAGCUGACCGUAGGAAAAUGGUGGAAAGAGUUGUGGAAUAAAGGUAGCUUUGGGGAUUAUGACAUGAAUAAAUGACAGAAAUUG